UGGGUCUGGGUUGAGUGACGGCCUGUUUCUUUCUAACCCUAUUUGAGAAUGGCGUAGGCGCCGUGCUUUUGCUCCCCGCUCGCUGUUUUUCUCGCUGGCUUUCAGCGCGCGGAAAAGCCUCGGCCUACCGCCGUCCACCGUCCGAUCUAGAACAAACAAAAAAUGUCAGCGACUGGUCAAGUCACCCUUCCCAGGAACCUGUGGAAUUCGCCCGCCCGGCCCCCGCACCCCGCCUAGAGGCCGCGGUCGGCCCGGGACUUCUCCGGAGGUGCCCAAUGCCGCCGCGAAGAGUUGGGCUCUGUCAGCCGCGGGUUCCUUGGGGGCCAAGGGCGAGGCUGUGGCCACAGGGAGAGAAACGGAGCGGGUUCCCGCGCGCGGUGCACUUCCCUGAGCUGUGGGACUUGCAUCCGGGACUGGGCUCGGACAUAC
This is an unclassified non-coding RNA of Pteropus vampyrus (large flying fox), 429 nucleotides long. Its record names the gene Telomerase-vert. It matches the Rfam family "Vertebrate telomerase RNA". Rfam says of the family: Telomerase is a ribonucleoprotein reverse transcriptase that synthesises telomeric DNA. Telomerase RNAs differ greatly in sequence and structure between vertebrates, ciliates and yeasts, but they share a 5' pseudoknot structure close to the template sequence. NCBI's taxonomy places the organism in Eukaryota, Metazoa, Chordata, Mammalia, Chiroptera, Pteropodidae. The record is from Ensembl.